This 594-nucleotide ribosomal RNA is filed under the name Rigidoporus ginkgonis. RNAcentral describes it as "eukaryotic LSU rRNA". The stretch from base 166 to 319 matches the Rfam family "5.8S ribosomal RNA". The record is from RNAcentral. Lineage: Eukaryota; Fungi; Basidiomycota; Agaricomycetes; Polyporales; Meripilaceae.
ACGAAUUGCGUUCGGGGUUGUUGCUGGCUCACCUUUCCCGGGGAGCACGUGCACGCCUCGCAUCCAUUUCAACCUCACUCGUGCACUUCAGAGGACCUUUUGGUUCUCUUUUUCACACAAACCUCUGUAUAGUCAUUGUAGAACGUCUUGUAUUAAACUAAAUACAACUUUCAACAACGGAUCUCUUGGCUCUCGCAUCGAUGAAGAACGCAGCGAAAUGCGAUAAGUAAUGUGAAUUGCAGAAUUCAGUGAAUCAUCGAAUCUUUGAACGCACCUUGCGCUCCUUGGUAUUCCGAGGAGCAUGCCUGUUUGAGUGUCGUGUAAUUCUCAAUCCCGUUUGGUUUUGAAUCGAACGUGGAUUGGACUUGGGAGCUUGCUGUGCCUGUUUCUUGGUUCGGCUCUCCUUGAAUGCAUUAGCUCGGUCACGUAGUUGCCCGACGGUUCACGGUGUGAUAGUCAUUCAUCGCCGUUCUGACCGUUUCGGUGCCUGUGUCUGCCGGCUUCUAAUCCGUGUGUUGUCCUUUGUUGGAUGAUGCACUCUUUGACAAUUGACCUCAAAUCAGGUAGGAUUACCCGCUGAACUUAAGCUAUAAA